GUGGGUUAUGGGGAGGGCCUGGAGGGAAAGUCGGUGAGCCGGGCGGGCGUAAGAGGCGGGACCUGAGCUGAGUCCUUCCAGUUCCUGUGACCUCCUGAGCGGGGAGUGACAGCCUCAAGGACCAGAGCAAUGGGUUUGCUCUCAGAGUUGAAGUUGGCUGUGCCCUGGGGCCACAUUGCUGUCAAAGUCUGGGGCUUGCAGAAGAACCCUCCAGUUCUGUGCCUGCAUGGCUGGUUGGACAAUGCCAACUCCUUUGACAAGCUCAUUCCUUUUCUUCCAAAAGACUUUUGUUAUGUGGCCAUGGAUUUCGGAGGCCAUGGGCUUUCAACCCACUACAGCCCAGGUCUCCCCUACUACCACCAUAACUUCGUGAGUGAGGUCCGAAGGGUGGUGUCAGCUUUUAAGUGGACUCGGCUCUCCCUCCUGGGCCACAGUUUUGGUGGCGUUGUGGGUGGCUUGUUCGCCUGCAUGUUCCCUGAGAUGGUGGACAAACUGAUCUUGCUGGACUCGACGCCACUUCUCAUGGACUUGAAUGAAGUGGAGAACAUAAUGACCUACAGGCGGAAGAACAUAGAGCAGACACUGAAGGUGGAAGACUCCCAGAAGCCCCCGGGCAUCUUCAGCCCAGAGGAGAUGCUGCAUGAGCUCCUGACUAAGAACAGCCACUUGAAUGAAGACUGUGGGGAACUCCUCCUGCAGAGGGGAACCACGAAGGUGGCUGAAGGUCUGGUGCUGAACAGGGACCAGAGGCUCUCUUGGGUGUCACGGAGAGAUCGGCCUCUGUCAGCAAGCUACCCACGGCACCACAUUUCCUACAUCCAAUCCUCUGCUGAUGGGCAUCAGGGUUUCACGCUUUGGCAAUUGAGAACGACGCAGCUGUAACAUGAGGUGCAAGUGUCUGAGUCUUUGAUGCUGGUGCUUGGCUAUGCCAGAAGAGAAUGCUGCAGCCCAUGGUAACGUGUGACUGAUCUUUUGAGAAAUUGCUGAACUGUUGUUCACAGAGGCCGAACUAGUUUAUGUCCCCACCAAUGUUGCAGGAGGUGCUGACUUCACCCUGGUCUAUCUGUCUCUCUGUCUGUCUGUCUCUGUCUCUCUCUCUCCCCCCUCUCCCUCCCCCUCUCCCCUCUUUCUCUCCCUCUCUCUCUCUCUCUCUCUCUCUCUCUCUCUCUCUCUCUCUCACACACACACACACACACACACACGUACUGGGAAUUGAACCCAAGGACUUGCACAUGCUAGGCAAGUGUUAUACCAUUGAGCUACAUCUCCAGAUUCCUCUCUCUCUCCCAUUUAUGUCUUCUCAUACAUGUGGAUAUAUAUCGUGGACUCUCCCCCUCCAAAUGUCUUCUUGUACACGUGUAUAAACAUGGACACAGACCCUUGUCUCAGGACUUCAUGUUGCCCCGUACCCUUGCUAAAGGAAGUCCCUCACAGACAUGAAGUGAAGAAAGCCAGGAGAGCAACAUAGCUGUGGCACUAGAGAUCAGAGAAGUUCUCCCCGGAGGACCCCAUGAAUCUGGGGCAAUAGCAGGGCCCCCAACCUGGGUCUGGGUCCUACACCCCUGUGUCCUCUGCAAAAGGCUUCAGGGUUGGCCGUUCAGUUUGACCUUGCUGUCUGUUUUAUUACUUAAAAAAAAAAAAAGUGGGCCAGGAAAUGAAUUGGAAGAAGCUAAGAGAGGUUGAGGGGGAGAGGCAGCUGACAAAAGGGGACAGGCAAGUACCAGUGUGGCAAGGUACCAGUCUGGAGGAAUAAGCUGCCUCAGAAACUCCAAAGAGCUUCACAUCCGCAGGCAUGAGUGGAGGUGAUGGCCUUUAAUCCUUGCCUUGGGACCAACUUAAAAUGAAGUUUGAGGCCUGAUCGUACCCUUGAGCCAGAUAACCCCAGUUCCUGAGGAAAAGGAGGGGGCUGGAGGACAAGGCCCACGCGCCAGCUUGCUCGAUGCUGCCACCUCCUGUUCACUGUUGGCUGUGGCCGGGGUCAGAGCCUCCCCGCCUCAGCUGCACCCCACUCCAUCCCCCACACCAGUGAAGCCACUGUGUAGCCUGCACUCUCUGGGAGGCAGCCCCCCCGAGCCUUGUCAUACCUGAGAUGUGAGGCCUCGUAGGUAGGUAAUGUGGGACUCUGCUUUUGAGAACGUUCUCAUGGUGAUUUUAGUCUGAGCAGCAGGAGGAGGAGUGUCUGUCAUGUCUGUGUGAGCGCACAGGUAUGAUGUACGUGUGCAUGUGGGGGUCAGAGGACGACCUUCGGCGGUGUUUCUCAGCUACCGUCCUCACACUUAUUAAUAUUGUAUUUUGAGAUGGUCUGGAACUUUUCCAAUGGGUUAAGCUGGCUGGCCAUCAAACUCCAACUGUCUACCUAUUCCUGCCUCUUGACAGCUGAGAUUAUGGGACUGUCACACACAUGCCCUGUUGUUUUUCUUGUUGUUGUUGGGUUUACUUUGUUUUUUUUUCUUUUUGUUCUUUUUAAAGAUUUUAUUAUAUGUAUGUAUAGGAGUACCCAGUUGCUGUCUUCAGACACCAGAAGAGGGCAUCAGAUCCCACUACAGAUGGUUGUGAGCCAUUAUGUGCUUGCUGGGAAUUCAACUUAGGACCUCUGGAAGAGCAGUCAGUGCUUUUAAUCGCUGAGCCAUCUCUCCAGCCCAGGAGUGAAUUUUGAGACUGGGUAUCAGAUACUAGGACCCAGUGCUAUCUACCACUGACCUACAUCCUCAGUCCACUAUAACUACAUCUUGUAUUUUACUUACUACAUAAUUUCCCCUACAAAGUCUCCUGAUUCUAGCAUACACAUCACACCUACAGUACCCGUCUGUAGCUGCAUGGGACUGGAGGCCUCUAUGUUGGCCACUACAUGCUAAACAGCAAGGACAGAGCAGGCAGAGCUAGGUGGAGACACAGGUCUGGUGGACUCACUGCGAUGUGGUCCAGAACAUAGUGUGAUGUGGAAGUGGUCUCAAAGGGACGGGCUCCACUUGGCGCAGAGCCCAGAGCUGGAAGCUGGACUGUGCUCUGGGAAGGGUCUGCAGGGGACUCCACAGCCCUGAAAGAGUCCUGAAGUAACCUCCAUUGCUUCUCUGCCUCCACCAACAGCCACACCCACUGUAAGGGGUUCUGUGAGUGGACUCUGGCUGGGUGGCUAUGAUCCCAACAAGAGGGAAGAAUGGCUCGGGGGUUGGGGUGGGCGGGACUUUGGUGGAUGGAAAACAAGAGGCUUUGAGUAAUGAAUUGGUGGACAUUGGCCUCCUGGGACCGGUGGCCCAGCUGGCCUAGUUACCCUGCCUGUGGGAGCUCACAGGGCUUCAUGGCAAGAGUCACCCUGGUUUUGUCCCUGCAGCCACAGUACAGCUUUGACUUCAUGGGCAAGGAGCUGACUAUGCACUCUUUGAGGAGGCUGCAGGCCAGCGUGUUAAUAAUCAAAGCACUGGACGGGUACUACGACGUGAGACGGGAGAACGAUUUGAAUAAGGCGUCCUUCCUCCUCAUG
This is a non-coding RNA of Rattus norvegicus (Norway rat), 3481 nucleotides long. NCBI's taxonomy places the organism in Eukaryota, Metazoa, Chordata, Mammalia, Rodentia, Muridae. The record is from RefSeq and is a predicted model, not a curated record.